This 64-nucleotide transfer RNA is filed under the name Potorous tridactylus (long-nosed potoroo). RNAcentral describes it as "transfer RNA-Lys". The record is from RNAcentral. Lineage: Eukaryota; Metazoa; Chordata; Mammalia; Diprotodontia; Potoroidae.
CAUCUUUGAGAAAUUAUUAUAAAUACUAUACGUAUUUUAAGGCCCUAAAAAGCCCUCAAAACCA